RNAcentral lists this ribosomal RNA (470 nucleotides) under uncultured soil bacterium. RNAcentral's name for it is "bacterial SSU rRNA". It matches the Rfam family "Bacterial small subunit ribosomal RNA", at positions 8 to 524 of the family's 1533-position model. The record is from RNAcentral.
AGAGUUUGAUCCUGGCUCAGAGCGAACGCUGGCGGCAGGCCUAAUACAUGCAAGUCGAGCGCCGUAGCAAUACGGAGCGGCAGACGGGAGAGUAACACGUGGGAACGUACCCUUCAGUUCGGAACAACCCAGGGAAACUUGGGCUAAUACCGGAUACGUCCGUAAGGAGAAAGAUUUAUCGCUGAAGGAUCGGCCCGCGUCUGAUUAGCUUGUUGGUGAGGUAACGGCUCACCAAGGCGACGAUCAGUAGCUGGUCUGAGAGGAUGAUCAGCCUCACUGGGACUGAGACACGGCCCAGACUCCUACGGGAGGCAGCAGUAGGGAAUAUUGGACAAUGGGCGCAAGCCUGAUCCAGCCAUGCCGCGUGGGUGAUGAAGGCCCUAGGGUUGUAAAGCCCUUUCGGCGGGGAAGAUAAUGACGGUACCCGCAGAAGAAGCCCCGGCUAACUUCGUGCCAGCAGCCGCGGUAAU